Molecule: long non-coding RNA, 7569 nt
Filed under: Sus scrofa (pig)
Lineage: Eukaryota; Metazoa; Chordata; Mammalia; Artiodactyla; Suidae
Description: lncRNA (ENSSSCG00045003594.1)
Source: RNAcentral
GAGAAAAUACAAAUUGUGUAUUUCCUAACGGAGAAAUACUUGGAAUACACACAGAAUUCCUACAACUCAACAACAAAAAUUCUAAUUUAAAAAUGGACACAGGGGAGUUCCUACUGUGGUGCAGCAGGUUAAGAGCCGGCAUUGUCUCCGUGGAGGAACAGGUUCGAUCCCCAGCCCAGCAAAGAAGAUUAAGGAUCUGCAGCAGCUAUGGCUCUGAUUCAAUCCCUGGCCCAGGAACUUCCAUGUGCCAUGAGUGCAACCAAAAAAAAAACAUGGACAAAGGACUUGAAUAGACACUGCUCCAUCAAAGAUAAACCACAUGAAACGAGGUUAAACAUUGCUCAUCAUUAGGGAAUGCAGGCAAAACCCCAGUGAGAUACCACUUCACAAACUCACUAGGAUAGUGACUCUAAAAUGAAACAAAACAGAAGAAAUGUUGGUGAGAUCAUAGAGAAAUUGGAACCCUUAUUAUUACAGUGGAAAACUGUACAGUGGUUCCUCAAAAAAUUCAACACAGAAUUGCUGUAACAUUCAGCAACUCCACUUUUAUGCACAGACCCCAAAGAACUGGAAACAGGGACUCCAAACAGCUAUUGGUACAUCCUUGUUGGCAUAGCAGCAUUAUUCACAAUCACCAAAUGGUACAAUCAACACAAAUUCUAAUGGGCAGAUGAAUGAUAAACCAAAUGUGCUAUAUACAUACAAUGGAACAUUCCUCAGCCUUAAAAAGGAAGGAAAUUCCCACGUAUGCUACACAACAUGGAUGAACCUGGAAGACAUUAUAUAAGUGAAAUAAAUCAGAGCUAAAGACAUUAUAUAAGUGAAAUAAACCAGAGCUAAAAGUGCAUGAUUCCACUUACAUGAGGUACCUAGAGUCAAAUGCAUGGAGACAAAAAGAAUAGUGGGUGCCAGGAGCUGGGGGGGAGGUUGCAAUGGGAGAGUUAUUGUUGAAUGGGUAUGAAGUUUCAGCCUGGGAUGAUGAAAAAGUGCUGGAAAUGAGAAGUAGUGACAUUUGCACAAUAAUGUGAAUAUAUUCAAUACAACUGAAUAGUACAUUUAAAUGAUUAAAAAUGGUAAAAAAAAAAAAAGAGAGACAGAGAGAGACGGCAGGGGAGGCAGAUAUCAAUCAGCAGUAAUGUGUGGGCUCUGCUCUUGAGCUACUGAUGAAGACUGCUACUUGGGGAGAGGAAAUUAAGGCACGUGCAAGGUGACUGAUGAAGAUAAAUGAUUAGAUGUGAAAGUGAAUCAGCUACUCUUGGAGGAUGUCCUGUGGAUUAUUAGGGCUCUAACAUACCAUACACUUCAUUAAAUAAAUAGAAUUCUAAUAGAUUAACCUACACACUCCUCCACACCCCGCCCCCAACACCAGCCGCACCACAUACACAUUCACCUGGUAAAAUAAUUCUUUGCUUGUUGAUAUAACCUACAUGAGUUUGUGCAGGCAAAGUCACUAUGCACAGUUACUUUUUUUUUUUUUUUUGCAACAAAUAAAAUAGUUUAAUGCAAAUGCAGUGGGUGACAUUUGGCCUUGAAUAGUGUCACACGCUAAAGCCACCUCAGACAUGGCCUCCGAGAAUUUGGUGUCUGGGAGUGCCUGCUGUGGUGCAGUGCGUUAAGAAUCCAACUGCAGUGCCUCAGGUCUCUGGAAGGUGAGGAUUCGAUCCCCUGCCUGGUGCGGUGGGUUAAAGUACCUGGCAUAGGUAGCAGCUGUGGCUCAGAUUCAAUACCUGGCCCAUGAACUUUCAUUUGCCACGGGUGCAGCCAUUAAAGAAAAAAGCUUGGUGUCUGGAUUCAAGUGAACCUGUCUCAAAUCCAAGCUUUGCCACUUGCUAGCCGAGUGACUUUGGGUGACCUUUAGCAAGACGCUCCAUCUUCAUAAACCCCCAUUUCUGACACAUUCACUGGAGAUGAUAAACAAGCCCACUCCCUCAAGCCACUGACAGAAUUAAAUGAUCUUGAGGAAUAGAGAGCCUUAUGCAUGGUAAACGUUCAACAAAUAGCAGCAAUUAACUAGUAAGAAUGAUCGUCUUUGAAUAAUUUAGUUAAUGAGGGUGAUGAAUUAUAUCUACCCUCAUCCCAGUGAUGAACAGAUCCAGAAGCGAAAUCCCCUAAGGAACUAGCAUGACCACAACUCAGCGAGGGUGUUGUAAUUGCCUCAGCAACACAGCAAAUAAUUCCAUUUCAGAGCGGGGCAGCACUUCCGAGCCAUAUUAACUUCUAGAGAUGGUGAGAAGUACAACUCAUUCUCAUAACAAAAUCUAAAAAUAUGUAUUUUACUUUUAGAUCUCUAAUAAGGCUCCCUUGGAGGACCUGAGAAAAAGACAGCUAGAAUAUUUGCCGGGAUUAAGAUCCUGUAUCAUAGUAAUGAAGAAUUUUUUAAUUAUUUGUAUGCUUCGAGCAGCUCUGUUAAAAAUAAACAUUGCACAUUAUUGCAGAUCAACCCCUUGUUGGCUGCAAGACACUUUCCCAAGUAGCUCUGUUAUAUUUCUUGGUGGUGAGCUAGAUGUUGCCCCAGUCAUCAUUACUUGAGCUCCGUAACAGAGGUGUCUUCCACGGUGUGCAUGGAGUUUUAAAAUACGAAGGGUGACAUUGCAUGGGUUUGCACAGCUUAAAGAUGCUGUGGUCUGGCUGACUCCAUUUCUGGUUAAAUUUUCAAUAGGAAAUGACUAAUUUGUGCUCAAAACACCAGGCAACCAGGCCCCAGGGAUGGGUCACAAAAGGAGGGUUUGGGCCAGAGGAAGCAGGUUCCAGGCGGGCUGGAGGAGUCAGCCCUGAGACGUGGCAGCACUUGUCAGUCAACCGACAACUGGGCCUACCACCCCCAAGAGGAGGCGGGGGCAUGUCACCUGCGUCUAAGAUCCUUUGUGAGUCCCGUCCCCACUUCGCUCACUCAGCCAAGGUGUACUGAGCACCUGCUGUAGCAGAGCACUGGACGAGCCAGAGCCACGAGCAUUCGGGAGCCGCUCACGUAGUAUUGUGCAAGGGCAGCAGGUGUUUGUUAUUUGACAGCAUUUUUCACCUCUUUGGUGGAAGGGAAACAACUAGAGGGCAGAUAGAUUCCCGACCCACAAAGGUGUUCUGAAUCAGAAUCACCAGGGGAAGAGUUUGGACUUUGCUUAUCUGUUUUACUGGGGCCACAUAUAUAUGGGUUCUGAAACUGUUGGUUCCGUUCAUUUCCCCCCAGUUAACUAGUUGUUUUGGCAAAAGGACUGACCCUAGAGCUCCUCACUCUGCUAUUCUGCAUGAUUAUCACUCCUCUGGAAUCCACUUUUUUUUAAUGAAAAUUGUAUGUAUUUAAGGUGUUCAACACGACGAUGUGAUAAACAUUUACAAAGUGAAAUGACGACUACAAUCAGGCUGAUUAACAUUCCUCCUCGAAUAGUUUUUGUUUUGCUUUGUUUUUGUUUUUCGUGAUGAGUGUCCGGGAAAUCUAGAGAUGUAUCUUAUAUUUAACACAGAGUAUGCUAAGUGUGGCUACUAAUACUGUAUGGAAUCCGGCAUCUGUAUUUUUUUAACCUGGGCCUCCUGAAUCCUUAUUUUCAGCCAUAGAUGGGAGCUACAGGUUUAAAGGAAGGAAUAACGGGAGAUCAGUGUCCUACUCUCAAGUGAGCUCACCUGGCUGUUAGAUGCACCCAGCCAAUCAACAAGCGCAACACGUGAAGGGAUGUGUUCUUUCAACGAACAAAACAGACAUGGUCCCUGCCCUUACAGGACGCCAAAAUCCCCAGGGAACAAAUCACUUUAUCAAAUAAUCUGCUUAUCAUAGAAAAACAGAGUUUGAACAAGCUUGCUUAAAUAUGGGUGCUGCCCAAACAUAUAUGAUUCUAGAAAACGAAAUCAGUCUGUUUUGGAAGGACUCCAGCAAAUGUUAAGUUCCCCAGGGGCUAAAAGCAGCUCCCUUAGCAAGAAAGAGAGUACACCGGUUAAUGGAGAAUACAGCACCCUUGGGAACCAUAGAGUAUAAGCCCAGACCUUCUUUAACGUAUGCCAAGCAAACCUCAGCUCAAAAGAAAAGAUACGGAGACUCACAGGACCAGAUGAUCCAAGAUGAAGUCAGCCUUGGGCACAGCUGCGUGGCCGAGCCCCGCGACGUCUUCAGGGACCUCCUCUCUCUCCAUUUCUUGGCUCUGCUGUUCUUAACUCACAAAUGGAGCCAGAAGCCCAAAUGUUAUCAGAAUGUGGUCUCUCCUUCGUGGGUAGGAGAGUCCAUGGCGGCUCCAAGGCCCAUGCUGCCGAGUGAGGCAACCCUGGCAAAAGGAGCCCGGGCCCCCGGGCUCCCGGAGAAAAGUUGAGAAGAGGACGCGGAUUGGUCCACCUUGGCCCAAUGACUGCGGUCAGAAGGAUGGCAGCCUUCUGAUUUGCCAGGCCCUGCAUGCGGAGGUCAGCCCUAUGGAAGGGCUGGGAAUGCGUUCCUUGCAUCGGAUAAAAGGGAGUGGGUUGUCAUCCUCCACAGUAGAGUAUGCUAGCAAAUUGUGACAAUUUUGAUAAGACUCGAUUUUGGUAAGGCAGGGGAGCCUUUAGCCCCAGGGUGCCCAGCUGGGUUGGGGUGGGAGGUAGAAUUCCGCUGGCCACCUCUUCUACCCUGUCUGUAAACUACCUGAGCUACUGGAGAUUUGGAAGGAAGGAAGAGUAGAAGAUGCCCAACAGCUGUUAGUAAACCGAUUCCGUCUACUGCAAAGUCAAACCGGCUUUCUUAAAAUCACCACGGUAGGCAAUUUAGAAACGACAACCUUUGCUUGAAAAGGAUCCCUAGGCCUACCAUUUACGCUUGAGAAAUACUAUAGCCUACGUAAUUUGCUGCCAGUAUUAGCCAUCUGGCCCUUCAGAAAUUACUACGGUUCUAACAUGGUAGCCUCUGCCACCCAUGACUGGAGCAGCAAUAAGGAAAUCAAGUAUUUCAGCAGGCCUGCCAGGCCCCUCUUCCUUUUUGCAGACACAGGCAGUUUGGGCAUUACCUUGGGGUGCCAUGCAAGACUGUCAAAUGGUGUGAUCCUCCCACAGGCUUAUGGAUAACUCCUUGGAAGCAGUGGCCGGGGUGGUACUGCUGGGUGGCUUAUGUGCUAGGGUCUAGGACAGCCCCCACAUCCACAGGCGUGAGCAUCAUUUUAUAGCUCUGUGCAGGUUUGGGGAUUGCACCCAAGGUUGAAGACUGGAGUGAGGACCGAGCCUAAGUUGUAAGGAUCAAGGAAGGCCGCUGGAGGAGACUUAACCUGAAACAUGAACCAAACAUUUUAGAAAAGUGGGGGAGGAGGUGUGAAAAGCUCAGAACCCAGGAACUUGCAAGAAACCAGUGGAGUUGGGCAGAGAAGGCAGGAGGGUGGGAGAUGACUGGGGAGCAGGGGGCGGGGCCAGAUCAGGCCAAAUCUCCUGGGUUACAAUGAUUCUAGACCUAAAACUACAGUUUUGAGCAGGGAAGUGACAUAAAUUUACCUCUUUAUAGGACCACUCUGCUUGGCACACGGAGAGUGGGUUGAAGGGACACAGAGUGGAUGCAGAUGGAAAAGAGGCUAUUACUGGAGCCUACAGGAGAGAAGAAACACCUGCACUUUGCCAUAAGCAGAAGGUAAGAUCCAGGGCUAACGGUGGACUGGGUGUGUCAAGUUAAGGGGCAGCAGGGAUCAAAGAUUAUCCCAGAUUUCUGGCAUGAGAACUUCAACACUGGCACUAGCUAUCAAUUAAGAAAAGGAACCCUCUAAGAAUUUGGAGGGACUGCGAAUUCCAUUUUGGAUGUGUUGACGAAAGGUGCCUGUGAAAUAACCAGGCGGAGGGGCAGAGGUCGUUGGAUAGAACGGUCUGGGCUGGAAAGGUACAUCUAGUAGAAUAUAUUUGGAAAGAGGUGGAAAUUAAAGCCAGAGGCUUGGACAGGAUCACUUGGUGAGAAAGUAUGCGGAGAGAAGAGGCACUGAAAAAAUUUGCCAUUUAAAGCCGGUGUGGAGGAGAGAAGAAACCUGAUGAGAAGCAGGAGUGCGGCAUCAGACUCCAGCGUGGCCUCCAGUGACCCUCCCACCACCUCCUGUAUCUGUGCCCCCGAGUCUCCUUCCACGUGGGGUAGGGCUAACUUGUAGAGACCGUAUAUUAUGGAAAUGACAGUCCAUGGCCAAGGUUGUGCCUCAAAGGGCUAUUCAAACAACAAGGCUUCUAAAGAGUUGAAAGGCAUCGUCUCUCAGCCGACUGAGCAGAAGCCCAAGGUAGAGAAGAAUGUAUCUGAAAGAAAGGUGUGGGUAGGGCUUUUGCCUGAUGGAGUGAACUGCAGGAAGACUCAGAGGAGACACAUCAAGUGUUCAAAAUACCUGUAUCUGCAGAAUAACUCUAAUCCUUUCCUGGAAAAGGAAGGAUGAGUCAGAGGCCCCAUUACUCCCCUUCCUCCUGGUGUUCCUACCUUUGGGUGGUGUCUUCCCACACUGAGGACUGACCUGUGUAGACCGUAUACUGUGGGGAGCAGCGGGUGACUUCUGAGGCUAAAUCUGAAAGACAGGGCAGCUUCCACCUUGUCUAGAACCACCUGCUCUGGCGGAAGCCAGGGCCACGUCAGGAGGCUAUUCAAGCAGCCCUGCAGAGAUGGCGAGGAGCUGAGAUCUUCUGCCGAAGCCCCGGAGAUGACCCAUCCUGGAAGGGGACCCUCCAGCCUCUGCAGCGCCAGUGACAUCAGACCACCCUCAGGGCCUUCCUGGUCCUAAGCAAGAGCUUACCCAGGGAAACCACACCCCAAUACUGGACCCGAAAGAAAAGGUAAAGUCUGUUAUUUUAAAACGACGUCUUGAGGUGAUGUGUUAUGUCGCCAGAAAUAAAUAAUACAAGGCCAGAAGCAUGUGAGUUCACGAAAAGUAAAUUCGCUGUUUCAAGGUGAGAGGGCACAACUUGUCAGAUGUUGUGGAAUGGCAAAACAUCCCAUACCUGGACGACAAUAAAGCGCAUAUAUCAAUCCUGAAUUUCAUUUGGCUACCCUGACGCUGGAAAGCAAAAAUAUGCCCACUGUACUUGGUAUACAUGGUUCAAGAAAACUGAGAAAUACUGAUUAUUCUUUUGAAAGACUUCAUUAAAAACAUCUCUCAGGGGUUCCCGUCGUGGCACAGUGGAAAUGAACCCAACUAGGAACCAUGAGGUUGCAGGUCCAUUCCCUGGCCUUGCUCAGUGGGUUAAGGAUCCGGCAUUGCCAUGAGCUGUGGUGUAGGUUGCAGACGCGGCUCGGAUCCCAAGUCACUGUGGCUGUGGUGUAGGCCAGCAGCUACAACUCCGACUGGACCCCUGGCCUGGGAACCUCCAUAUGCUGCGGGGGUAGCCCUAAAAAGCAAAAAAUAAAAAUAAAAAAUAAAAAAACACAUCUUUUCAAAGUCUGUGAGACCUUUCAAUGACAGCGGUUAAACGUCUUACUGUUCUUUCCUGGUCUCUCAGUCGCCUUUGCGUACGGACCAAGGUGUCAUUAAUGGACUGUUAUGUCGUUAAAGGGCAGAGCAGCCUCCCUUUAGCACCUGGAGGGUUAGAUGCAUUGGAGGUGCUCAUACAAGUGAACCCCGGACUAAAAAGCAAAAGCGUCUCAUGUUUUACUAAAAAAAAAAAAAAAAAAAAAAA